Long non-coding RNA from Perca fluviatilis (European perch), 1920 nucleotides. RefSeq lists it as uncharacterized. Lineage: Eukaryota; Metazoa; Chordata; Actinopteri; Perciformes; Percidae. The transcript has 2 exons. The record is from RefSeq and is a predicted model, not a curated record.
UCUGUUUGUUGUUAUUGUGUCACAAAGUGUGUUUGUUCUGCACUUUUGACUGGUAGAGUCUUGCAUUUGGGCCCACCUGCUGAAACCGUGGCAGGUCUCCUACAACCCUCACAGCUCACCUGGUUGAAAGCCUCUUGACCAUCUUCCUUUCUCCAGCUGGCAGCAAUAAAAGGCAAUCUGAAGAAGCUGUUGUUCCUUUCUGGAGAGACUACCUAACAGAUUCAGAAGAGCAAGAAGAAACACCGAUGCAAGGAACAAUUCUUGCCUUUGCCACUGAAGCCAGUAUUGUUCCACCAAUUGGCUUCUCUCCAGCCUUCAAUUGAAUUUCUUCACCAAGAGCAUGAUGCAGGAACUACCUCUAAACUACCCAUUGCAAAUACAUGCAUCGGUUGUCUGAAGUUACCACUGCACACUUCUUACAAAGACUUUCAGGAAAACAUGGACUUUGUAUAAUACCCAUGGUUUUGGCAUGGCUUAAUGCAUGUGUAGAGGAGAUAAUGAUUUCACUUAUCAAUAUUCAUUUUAUAAUUUAUUAUUCAUAAAAUUAUUUUUAUAAAGUUAACUGUCUGUUUUAUACUGCUUUGUAUCUUGUUUAAAUUCUGGAGAUUUCUUGUAGAAGUAAAAGCGGUUGCCAUGGUGACCUGGUGUGUAUCAGGGCGGCCUCUUCUGCGCACCUGCAGACUUGAGCGGUGAACCCCAAAAUUAUUUACAUGCAUGUGGUGUCCAUGGUAAGCUACCUUAACAUUAGCUCCGUUUAUAUAUGUUCGAUGCCAGAUAACACUGUACGCAUUAACUGCUAGAAAGUAGCAGGCGAUUAUUGACUUCCCUGUCCCACAGUCCAAGAAAGCGUUGUGCCGUUUCUUUCGAAUGUGUGGAUAUUAUCGUGGUUUUUGCCGAAACUUUUCUGAUUUGCUGGCUUCUCUCAUGGGUCUUGUAAGUCCCUUAAAACCAUUUGGUCAGGCUGCCUUCGAGUCUGCCAAGGCGUUAUGUAACGCACCUGUUCUCGCUGUGCCUUGCUUUACGCGACCCUUCAAAUUAGAGGUUGAUGCCAGCGCGUGCGGUGCUUUUGCAGGAGGACGAUCAAACUAUUGACCAUUCUGUUGGUUUGUUACUUCUCAAGAGUUUAAUAAGCAUCAGCUUAAUUAUAGCACUAUUUAGAAGGAAGCUCUUGCCCUUCUAUUCGCCUUGCAAUAUUUUGAAGAACAAGUAUUUACGGACCACAGCCCAUUAGUCUUCCUCGCACAUAUGCGCAAUUCUAACCAGCGGCUUAUGCCCUGGUCUCUCCUUCUGCAAGAUUUUAAUCUGCAGAUUCACCACAAAGGUUUCUGAGAAUGUGAUAGAUGCUUUGUCUAGAUGUUCCUCAGAUGUCUAGGAAUUAAACCUUUUUAGGGGUAGGUUUAAUUCUUGGGUGUGGGGGUGUUAUGACUGUGGUCGUAUUAUCUUUGGUCUGCUGUGUGUGCCCUGUGUUUUUCGUUCUCUUGUUCCAAUUUUGUAUGCAAAUAGGUGUGUGCCCUAGCCAGGAGUUUAUUGGUGGGAUACUCUCGUGCCCAGCUUCGUGAUUGGCUGCAGCUGGGGAUACCAUCAGUUAUAAGGAGCCAAGAUGGCGGCCAUCGGUGGGCAGCAGGCAUUUAUCCUCCUCAUCAUCUCCUAACCGGCCUCACUUUUUGCUUUGUACAACUCUGAUUUAGAUUAGGUCUUGUUUUUGGUUUAAGUAAGUGUGGACCACCAGGUGUGUUAAUCUUGUUUCCUGUUUUUGUUAGGGAGGGAAGUCUUUUGUCAUUGUUUUUGCACUUUUGUUUGAGGUUAGUUUCUUAUCUCCCAGUUAGGAUUGUUUUGUUUCUUUUGUGGUAGGCCACCCUGAAGCCUUAGACAUUUAUGUCAUAUUUUUGUUCUUUGUGAAAUAAAUGAGUAUCUAAACGA